This 440-nucleotide ribosomal RNA is filed under the name uncultured bacterium. RNAcentral's name for it is "partial 16S ribosomal RNA". It matches the Rfam family "Bacterial small subunit ribosomal RNA", at positions 338 to 795 of the family's 1533-position model. The record is from RNAcentral.
CCUACGGGUGGCAGCAGUGGGGAAUAUUGCACAAUGGGGGAAACCCUGAUGCAGCGACGCCGCGUGAGUGAAGAAGUAUUUCGGUAUGUAAAGCUCUAUCAGCAGGGAAGAAAAUGACGGUACCUGAGUAAGAAGCCCCGGCUAACUACGUGCCAGCAGCCGCGGUAAUACGUAGGGGGCAAGCGUUAUCCGGAUUUACUGGGUGUAAAGGGAGCGUAGACGGCAGAGCAAGUCUGGAGUGAAAGGCGGGGGCUCAACCCUGGGACUGCUCUUGAAACUGAAUGGCUGGAGUGCAGGAGAGGUAAGCGGAAUUCCUAGUGUAGCGGUGAAAUGCGUAGAUAUUAGGAGGAACACCAGUGGCGAAGGCGGCUUACUGGACUGUAACUGACGUUGAGGCUCGAAAGCGUGGGGAGCAAACAGGAUUAGAUACCCUGGUAGUC